GAACUCCUCAGUGUUAGGCGGCUCCUCCUGAACCACCUGAUCAUCUCCUGUGGGGGGGGUGUGAGACAGCAAGGGUGAGCUCACACAUGAUCAUCGCUCAACAAGUUGUGGGGAAUAAUGUGACAUGAACUCACCAAAGGUGGGAGCUCAUGUGAAGUGUAAGGCUGAUCAAUGAUAGGGGUUAAAGCUGAGCAUUGCUUUUAAGUAGUUGGUCAAAAUUUUAUUAGCAGUUACUAAGUGUAAGUAAAUACCAAACCUUAGAUAAAGUAAUUGCACAAAUUAAUAAUAAACCCAUGCAUAUGCAAAUGACAAAAUUGAAUUUAAGUUCCAUAAUUUAAACAUCAGAGAGUCCUGAGCUGCUCAUGACCGUGAGCUCGGCUAGUAUACCAGUUUUACACUCUGCAGAGGUUGUACCCUUUACCCACAAGUCAUGUUACCCAUCUGCCAAGGGGUCAUGAAUCCCAUACACCUCUACCUAGGAAGCGCGGCAGGGCAACACUACGAGGCCUUUACAAAGUUCCACUAGCUUCCGAAAACCCGCUACAGUUUAUGGGAAGAUCCAGUACAGGGUUCCUGGCUGACCGCCAUCGCAGCAAAAUCAACCAGGGACCUCCCCGCACUGACCUCUCCCCUACUGCCCUUGCCCCUUUCGGGUAAGGUAGUCUUCCACUAGCUUUCCUAGUUAAUCAGCCAAGGGCGUCCCAUUAAACCCUUGUGGUGGCACGUGGUUCUCAAGUUAAGCUCUAUGUUCCAAUUAACAUUAAUGAUCUCAACAUGAACAUAAAUAGAAUAACAAAAAUAACUGGAACAUAGAGGUAAUAAAUGAUUAUCCCAAAACCAUGUAAAGCAAUAGCAAACUACCCAAGUGAUUCAGGGGUGAACAAGGUAAUGAGAUAAACAAUCUAGGGUAACCUAUUGGGUCCCAUCAAAAUUAACCUAUGCAUGGAUAAGUGAUAUUAAAGAACAUUAUUGGGUAAAAAGUGGUCAAGGGCACAACUUGCCUGGCACUUGAGAUUCCAGGUACCAACUUGCUUUUCAGAUGACACGUGUCCCCGCGCUAGUCGUAGCAAUACAAACAAACAUGGUAUAGAUAAAAUUAACAUCACACCAAACAUAAGUACAAACUGAAUAAUAAUGAUCUACGUGUUGCUACGAGACUAACGCAACUUGAACGGAUCAAAUCGGAGUUAAAACGAAGAAGAUACAAAUUUCCUAAGGUUUUAUGUAUUUGAUACAUGAUUAAUUAAGAAAUAAAUUUUAAUACCAUUUUUAUGUUAAAACAGAGACACUAUGUAAUAAACAACAUUAUUAUAAAAUUACCGGAACUAGAAUGGACUAAUUUGGACUCAAUAUGAAUUUUAUAUGAAUUACGCAAACUCUAGUCAUUAUUCUUAUAUUAAAAAUAGAUUUCUAUUUCUUUUUCCUAUAUUUUCUAUUUACUGGACUGCAACCUGAAAUCUGAGAAGCGCAGGGGUCCUGAUGAAAUUAAUCCUAAGACACAGUUGACCCACUCGGUGGACUGCGGGUUGGUUUCUUAAAAAUGUGAGGGCUCUUUUAUAAACUUAGAUGGCCGAAGGGGUACGCGGAGAUCUCGGCCGCUGGAUCAAAACCAAACGGACCGGAUUACAUCUAGUUGCCUACAAACCCGUCUCGACAGGAGCCCUUAGAUCUAGAUCCUAUGACCAGAAUCCGCCCACGCUAGUCGCCAAUCCGAGUGGUCUAUCGGCCAUCCAACGGCUACCAUCUAAGAUGAGCGGAUCAGCGAAGUCUACCCUAGGAUCCCAGAUUGACGCUCGACAGUGAUCCGGACACAAUACCCCUUCCCUUCAAUCUGGAUUGUUCGCAAGGGAUCAGACGGCCGGGAAUCUUCCCCCCUAUCCCGGCCGGCCAAACACGGCGACGCCGUCGGCAUUCCCAUGGCAGCCUCCCGCCGGAGAUGCCCGAGCCACCCGAGAACUCCCAAUCGCUACCACCCGACUCCUACGCUGAAUAUUAAGUACGAUGAACAGCAGGGGCCUUACCGAAUUUUGUGCUACGCAAGGAAUUCUCCACGGAGAUGGACAGCUUUACGGUGGCGCACGACCCACCGGCGGAGAUGGCCUCGCCGGGCACUAACAACCAGCGCCAUCCUCGAUUCCAUUGGUACAAUGCGCAUCAGAGAGAAACUCACUUUCUGAAGGUAUGUACCUCACGGAACACGACGACGGGAAUGCGGCUGGCCACAGCACAGGGCGGAAGAACUCGAUUAAGAAUGCUCCGGUGACGAAUUCAUCACACGCCAACCACUGAUUCCGCACACCGAGGCUUCUAUUACUCUUGACGCACCCAGACGAGAUUCCUCAGCCUAAUAAUCGCGAGUCACAACAUCAAUGGUGGGAACGGCGACCUCACUUCUCUCACCUAUCUCUCGUGUUCCCAGGCGGCUGUAUGCUUCUUCCGCACAGCUAUGGCUUGUGCGUGGUCUUAUAGGUCCGGGAUUACGGAAGUUGGAUAGCGCACGACACGGCCCAAACGGUUGCAACGACAUUGACGAAAUGCUCGGAGAAAUCCCAAGAAUCGCGGCGCUGUGACAACGGAUCCGGCAGACCUGAGCUAGGAGAAAUGCCCUGACAGGGUUGGGCCACAUGCUGGGGCAAGAGGGAGGGAGACGCCCUGGGUCCCACACAGCCGCGGCGCUGGGGCAAACAGAGCUCGCGAGUGCGCAUCCGCGCGGGACACGCGCGUGGAGCCGCUGGAGCCGCGCAACCUACGGAGAUCGCAGCGCAGGGAGUGGAGAAGCUGUUGGGGAAGAAGGAGACCGGAUUUCUAGAGGGCCCACAUGGCGGUGACCCCAUUGAAGCAGCGUGCGGCGCGUGAUGUGUAGGGUGGGCUGCACAGGAAGGAGGCGGGUGGGCCGAGGCCAUCCCAAUUUCGGCCCAGUGCGGCUGAAGUAUAUUUUCUUUUUAUUUUCUGCUUCUUUUCUUUGUAAGUUCCCAUUUCUAAAUAUUCAAGUUAGUCAUUUAAUCCCAAAUUGGAUUAUUAAUUUGUUUCCAUUAAUGUGACUACUAUUAUUGUUAAAUUUAAUUAAAAGCCAACAUGGUGCACAAAUUAGGGAUGUGUCAUCUAUUAUUUAUUUACUUUUAAAUGUGGUGUUCACAUGUGUUAAUGAGUGGUAGCCACACACUUAAAGGGAUAAAUCACUACUCUCAUUAUUUACAAUUUGGGCACUACAAAUCCUACCCCCCUUAAAAAGAAUCUCGUCCUCGAGAUUAGGAAGGAUUAGGGAAAAGAUGGGGAAAUCUAUGUGAAGCUCUUCUCUUUCCCAUAUCGCUUCAUCUUCUCCAUGGUGGCUCCAUUGUACUUUGCACAUCUUUAUAACCUUAUUUCUUGUAACUCGAGUCAAAGUAUCCAAAAUCUUAAUCGGGUACUCCGUGUAAGUCAAAUCGCCCUGAACACUGAGCUCUUCCAUUGGUAACUGUUCCUCAGGGACACGGAGACACUUCUUAAGUUGAGAUACGUGAAACACAUUAUGCACAUCCGAUAGACUAGCAGGUAACUCAAGUUGGUAUGCCAUCUCUCCAACUCUCCUAAAGAUCAAGAAUGGUCCAAUAUAGCGAGGGGACAAUUUGCCCUUAACUUUGAUUCUCCUUAUUCCACAAAAUGGUGACACUUUGAGGUACUCAUGAUCACUUUCCUCAAACUCCAGUGGUCUUCUUCUAUUAUCAGCGUAGCUCUUUACCUGGUCUGAGCUACCCUCAAAUUCUCCCGAAUUAUACGGACUUGUUCUUCUGCCUCUUGAAUCAGUUCAGGUCCAAAGAACUGUCUUUCUUCUAGUCUAGUCCAAAAAUAGAGGAGUCCUGCAUUUCCUGUCAUACAGAGUCUCGAACGAUGACAUCUUCAGACUGGCAUAUUAACUAGUAUAUGAGAACUCAGCAUAAGGUAGACUCUUGUCCCAACUGCUACCAUGCUGAAGGGCACAAGCUCUCAACAUGUCUUCCAAUACUUGAUUAGUCCUUUUAGUUUGUCCAUCAGUCUGAGGUUGGUAGGCCGAAUUAAAAUUCAACUUCGCAUCCACAUUCUCAUGAAAACUUUUCCAAAAUCUAGGGGUAAACUGUGAUCCUCUAUCCAAAAUGAUCCUCUUCGGUACACUGUGUAGAGACACAAUCCAAGCCAUAUAUAACUCUGCCAAUUAAGAUCCCUUAUACGUAGUCUUAACCGGAAUGAUAUGAGCCACUUUGGUCAGUCUAUCCACAAUAACCCAUAUCGAAUCAUAUCCUUUCGAGGUGCGAGGCAAUCUAGUAAUGAAGUUCAUACCAAUCUCUUCCCACUUCCACUAGGGUAUCUUUAGUGGAUGGAGUAGUCCAGUUGGCCUCUGGUGUUCAGCCUUAACUCUUUGACACACAUCGCGCAUAGCCACAUGUGCAGCCACAUCUCUCUUCAGUCCAUACCACCAGUACUUCUGCUUCAAAUCUUGAUGCAUCUUGAUACUUCCACGAUGAAUAGAAUAAUCCGAGUUAUGGGCUUCCUUUAAAAUAGUCUCACGAAGGCUUUCAAACUCAGGAACACAUAUCUUGUCCUUGAACCAUACGGUGCCUUGCUCAUCUUCCGUGAAUUCCGGACCUCGACCUUCAGUAAUAAGAUCCUUGAUCUCUUGUAUUUUAGCAUCACCCAUUUGUCCUUUGUGGAUUUCUUGCUCCAAAGUAGGUUCCACAUCAAUAGUGACUCCUUCAGUAUGAGCAACUAUCCCCAGGUUAAGUCUCUUGAAAUCCUCAACAAUCUCAUCGGGUAACUGGGCAACAAUAGCUGAAUGAACAUGCUCCUUACGACUCAAGGCAUCUGCAACCAAAUUUGCCUUCCCCGGGUGAUAGUGAAUCUCCAAAUCAUAAUCCUUAAUAAGCUCCAACCAACGGUGUUGCCUAAGGUUGAGAUCCUUCCGAGUGAAUAUAUACUUCAAACUCUUAUGAUCCGUGUACACUUGACACUUGGUUCCCAUGAUAUAAUGUCUCCAAAUCUUAAGCGCAUGCACAACGGCUGGCAAUUCCAAGUCAUGAGUGGGGUAGUUCAAUUCAUGUUUGCGUAACUGACGAGAAGCGUAGGCAAUCACAUGACCUUCCUGCAUGAGCACACAUCCUAAGCCUUGGCCACAUGCAUCACAAUAGAUAUCAAAUCCUUUCUGUAGGUCUAGCAUAACCAAUACUGGUGGCGACAUCAACCUCUUUUUCAAUUGCUCAAAGCUGUCUUGGCACUUCUCGUCCCACUUAAAUUCUUUUCCUUUCUCCAAAAGUGAAGUCAUAGGUUUAGCAAUCUUAGAAAAUCCUUCAAUAAAUCUCCGAUAAUAUCCUGCUAAUCCCAAGAAACUCCGAAUCUCAGUAACUGUAGUGGGUACUCUCCACUCCAUUAUCUCCUUAACUUUAGCAGGAUCCACUGCUAUUCCUCCAUGAUAUAUCCAAGGAAUGACACCUCGUCAAUCCAGAACUCGCAUUUACUGUACUUGGCAUAGAGUUGAUUAUCUCUUAGCUUCUGUAGCACCAAUCUCAGAUGUUCCUCGUGAUCGCUAUCACUCUUGGAAUAGACAAGAAUGUCGUCGAUGAACACCACGACGAAUCUGUCCAGAUCAUGAACACCUUAUUCUUCAGAUCCAUAAAAUAGGUUGGUGCAUUAGUUAGUCCAGAUGACAUAACUGUGAACUCAUAUAAUCCAUAUCUAGUCGAGAAAGCCGUCUUGGGAAUAUCCGAUGGUCUAAUCCUCAUCUGAUGAUAACCGGAUCGGAGAUCAAUCUUCGAGAAUACUCUUGCACCCCUCAUCUGAUCAAAUAAAUCCUCAAUACGGGGCAACGGAUACUUGUUCUUCACUGUAACAUCAUUAAGCGAUCUAUAAUCCACACACAUCCGCUGCGUUCCAUCCUUCUUCUGUACAAACAAGACCGGUGCUCCCCAAGGUGAAGAACUCGGACGAAUGUACUCGGCCUCUUGUAACUCAGUUAACUGCUUCUUAAGUUCCUUCAACUCCUCUACGGACAUCCUAUAUGGCCGUUUAGAAAUAGGGGCGGUUCCAGGUAAGAGGUCAAUAACAAACUCAACUUCUCUCUCAGGUGGCAUCCCUGGUAACUCUUCUGGGAAGACAUUCGGAAAAUCCUUAACUCCACGGAUGUUGCCACACACAAACUUCUCAUCUACUAAGAAUACCGCUAGUCUGGUGGUGGUAGUUACUGCAAUUUCAACUUCAAAUCUUUCUUCUUUGGAACUAGUGAGUUCUUUGGUUCCUUUAGCACAGUGUAUAAACUGUCGUUGCCUUUCUCAACCAUGACAUACCAAGGAUCACGUCUAUAGUGCUCUCUUCUAACACUAUAGGGGUAGCCCAUCUGGGUUAGAAACACAGGGUAAGAAGCAAGGAUGGUAGACUAGGCGAGUAAUUACGAAGGAUGUUACUACGGGGGAUUUAUUAGCUAAGUAGAUUAGUGUGUUAUCCACUAAAGCUAAUACAUUACCUUAUGGUGGUACAUGCUAAGAUGCUCGUCUAUACUAUUUCAAUCAAUCAAAGAAGCAAAUCAGACAUUGAUCAUCAGAACAAUCAACCAACAUUUUUAAUAGAGAAAAUAAUUUUAAUUUCGUCUUAGGCUCCCUAUCUCUUAAAAUAUCAUAGAUGUAGGAUUCCCAGGUGUGAAAUCCAUCUCGUCUCAGAGUAGAGAAGGUAAGAGUAAUCAGAGUAGGAAAGCAAAAGGUGAGACAGGAUCAAGAUAAGUAUAGAGAGAAUAAGAGUAAGGUAAGUAUAGAAUGAAUCAGAAGAAGGUAAGUAGAUAAGGGUUUGUCCAUUUCUAUCUAGGUUUCGUCCUACAGUCAACAUUUCCUCUGAUACCACUUCUGUAACACCCGGCUUUAAGGAACAAAGCCAGGUGCAUCUCAUACAUGCGCCAAGAAGACAACAUAUAUAAUAACAGAGUGUAUAGAGAUAAAUGUCAUAAAACAUCAGAGAAUUUAUUACAUAGCGGAAGACUUAUUACAAAAUAACAUAAUAAAGAUAAAACGAACUAAGGAUCGUCGGCGCCAAUGUCGACUGGGAAACGCCACCUAGAUCAGAUCGAACUCCUCAGUGUUAGGCGGCUCCUCCUGAACCACCUGAUCAUCUCCUGUGGGGGGGGGUGUGAGACAGCAAGGGUGAGCUCACACAUGAUCAUCGCUCAACAAGUUGUGGGGAAUAAUGUGACAUGAACUCACCAAAGGUGGGAGCUCAUGUGAAGUGUAAGGCUGAUCAAUGAUAGGGGUUAAAGCUGAGCAUUGCUUUUAAGUAGUUGGUCAAAAUUUUAUUAGCAGUUACUAAGUGUAAGUAAAUACCAAACCUUAAAUAAAGUAAUUGCACAAAUUAAUAAUAAACCCAUGCAUAUGCAAAUGACAAAAUUGAAUUUAAGUUCCAUAAUUUAAACAUCAGAGAGUCCUGAGCUGCUCAUGACCGUGAGCUCGGCUAGUAUACCAGUUUUACACUCUGCAGAGGUUGUACCCUUUACCCACAAGUCAUGUUACCCAUCUGCCAAGGGGUCAUGAAUCCCAUACACCUCUACCUAGGAAGCGCGGCAGGGCAACACUACGAGGCCUUUACAAAGUUCCACUAGCUUCCGAAAACCCGCUACAGUUUAUGGGAAGAUCCAGUACAGGGUUCCUGGCUGACCGCCAUCGCAGCAAAAUCAACCAGGGACCUCCCCGCACUGACCUCUCCCCUACUGCCCUUGCCCCUUUCGGGUAAGGUAGUCUUCCACUAGCUUUCCUAGUUAAUCAGCCAAGGGCGUCCCAUUAAACCCUUGUGGUGGCACGUGGUUCUCAAGUUAAGCUCUAUAUUCCAAUUAACAUUAAUGAUCUCAACAUGAACAUAAAUAGAAUAACAAAAAUAACUGGAACAUAGAGGUAAUAAAUGAUUAUCCCAAAACCAUGUAAAGCAAUAGCAAACUACCCAAGUGAUUCAGGGGUGAACAAGGUAAUGAGAUAAACAAUCUAGGGUAACCUAUUGGGUCCCAUCAAAAUUAACCUAUGCAUGGAUAAGUGAUAUUAAAGAACAUUAUUGGGUAAAAAGUGGUCAAGGGCACAACUUGCCUGGCACUUGAGAUUCCAGGUACCAACUUGCUUUUCAGAUGACACGUGUCCCCGCGCUAGUCGUAGCAAUACAAACAAACAUGGUAUAGAUAAAAUUAACAUCACACCAAACAUAAGUACAAACUGAAUAAUAAUGAUCUACGUGUUGCUACGAGACUAACGCAACUUGAACGGAUCAAAUCGGAGUUAAAACGAAGAAGAUACAAAUUUCCUAAGGUUUUAUGUAUUUGAUACAUGAUUAAUUAAGAAAUAAAUUUUAAUACCAUUUUUAUGUUAAAACAGAGACACUAUGUAAUAAACAACAUUAUUAUAAAAUUACCGGAACUAGAAUGGACUAAUUUGGACUCAAUAUGAAUUUUAUAUGAAUUACGCAAACUCUAGUCAUUAUUCUUAUAUUAAAAAUAGAUUUCUAUUUCUUUUUCCUAUAUUUUCUAUUUACUGGACUGCAACCUGAAAUCUGAGAAGCGCAGGGGUCCUGAUGAAAUUAAUCCUAAGACACAGUUGACCCACUCGGUGGACUGCGGGUUGGUUUCUUAAAAAUGUGAGGGCUCUUUUAUAAACUUAGAUGGCCGAAGGGGUACGCGGAGAUCUCGGCCGCUGGAUCAGAACCAAACGGACCGGAUUACAUCUAGUUGCCUACAAACCCGUCUCGACAGGAGCCCUUAGAUCUAGAUCCUAUGACCAGAAUCCGCCCACGCUAGUCGCCAAUCCGAGUGGUCUAUCGGCCAUCCAACGGCUACCAUCUAAGAUGAGCGGAUCAGCGAAGUCUACCCUAGGAUCCCAGAUUGACGCUCGACAGUGAUCCGGACACAAUACCCCUUCCCUUCAAUCUGGAUUGUUCGCAAGGGAUCAGACGGCCGGGAAUCUUCCCCCCUAUCCCGGCCGGCCAAACACGGCGACGCCGUCGGCAUUCCCAUGGCAGCCUCCCGCCGGAGAUGCCCGAGCCACCCGAGAACUCCCAAUCGCUACCACCCUACUCCUACGCUGAAUAUUAAGUACGAUGAACAGCAGGGGCCUUACCGAAUUUUGUGCUACGCAAGGAAUUCUCCACGGAGAUGGACAGCUUUACGGUGGCGCACGACCCACCGGCGGAGAUGGCCUCGCCGGGCACUAACAACCAGCGCCAUCCUCGAUUCCAUUGGUACAAUGCGCAGCAGAGAGAAACUCACUUUCUGAAGGUAUGUACCUCACGGAACACGACGACGGGAAUGCGGCUGGCCACAGCACAGGGCGGAAGAACUCGAUUAAGAAUGCUCCGGUGACGAAUUCAUCACACGCCAACCACUGAUUCCGCACACCGAGGCUUCUAUUACUCUUGACGCACCCAGACGAGAUUCCUCAGCCUAAUAAUCGCGAGUCACAACAUCAAUGGUGGGAACGGCGACCUCACUUCUCUCACCUAUCUCUCGUGUUCCCAGGCGGCUGUAUGCUUCUUCCGCACAGCUAUGGCUUGUGCGUGGUCUUAUAGGUCCGGGAUUACGGAAGUUGGAUAGCGCACGACACGGCCCAAACGGUUGCAACGACAUUGACGAAAUGCUCGGAGAAAUCCCAAGAAUCGCGGCGCUGUGACAACGGAUCCGGCAGACCUGAGCUAGGAGAAAUGCCCUGACAGGGUUGGGCCACAUGCUGGGGCAAGAGGGAGGGAGACGCCCUGGGUCCCACACAGC
Molecule: long non-coding RNA, 9727 nt
Filed under: Zea mays
Lineage: Eukaryota; Viridiplantae; Streptophyta; Magnoliopsida; Poales; Poaceae
Description: long non-coding RNA (ZMAY_LNC005712)
Source: RNAcentral